This 165-nucleotide ribosomal RNA is filed under the name uncultured bacterium. Its description in RNAcentral is "partial 16S rRNA". It matches the Rfam family "Bacterial small subunit ribosomal RNA", at positions 355 to 511 of the family's 1533-position model. The record is from RNAcentral.
UGGGGAAGUAUUGGACAAUGGGCGAAAGCCUGAUCCAGCCAUGCCGCGUGUGUGAAGAAGGUCUUCGGAUUGUAAAGCACUUUAAGUUGGGAGGAAGGGCAGUAAGUUAAUACCUUGCUGUUUUGACGUUACCGACAGAAUAAGCACCGGCUAACUCUGUGCCAG